AUUGAACGCUGGCGGCAUGCCUUACACAUGCAAGUCGAACGGCAGCACGGGAGCAAUCCUGGUGGCGAGUGGCGAACGGGUGAGUAAUAUAUCGGAACGUGCCCAGUAGUGGGGGAUAGCCCGGCGAAAGCCGGAUUAAUACCGCAUGAGACCUGAGGGUGAAAGCGGGGGAUCGCAAGACCUCGCGCUAUUGGAGCGGCCGAUAUCAGAUUAGCUAGUUGGUGGGGUAAAGGCCUACCAAGGCGACGAUCUGUAGUUGGUCUGAGAGGACGACCAGCCACACUGGGACUGAGACACGGCCCAGACUCCUACGGGAGGCAGCAGUGGGGAAUUUUGGACAAUGGGCGCAAGCCUGAUCCAGCAAUGCCGCGUGCAGGAAGAAGGCCUUCGGGUUGUAAACUGCUUUUGUCAGGGAAGAAAUCCCUUGGGAUAAUACCUCGGGGGGAUGACGGUACCUGAAGAAUAAGCACCGGCUAACUACGUGCCAGCCGCCGCAGUAAAAC
Molecule: ribosomal RNA, 503 nt
Filed under: uncultured bacterium
Lineage: Bacteria
Description: bacterial SSU rRNA
Rfam family: Bacterial small subunit ribosomal RNA
Source: RNAcentral